This is a ribosomal RNA of Protopterus annectens (West African lungfish), 154 nucleotides long. RefSeq annotates it as 5.8S ribosomal RNA. The transcript has a single exon. The record is from RefSeq and is a predicted model, not a curated record. NCBI's taxonomy places the organism in Eukaryota, Metazoa, Chordata, Ceratodontiformes, Protopteridae.
GACUCUGAGCGGUGGAUCACUCGGCUUGUGUAUCGAUGAAUAAUGCAGUUUGCUGCGAGAACUAAAGUGAAUUGCAUGAUGCACUGAUCAUUGACACUUUGAACGCACUUUGCGGCACCGGGUUACUCCCGGGGCUACACCUGUCUGAGAGUUG